GGACUACUAGGGUUUCUAAUCCUGUUUGCUACCCACGCUUUCGUGUCUCAGCGUCAGUCGUGGUCCAGAAAGCCGUCUACACCGCAGGUGUUCCUCCUGAUAUCUACGCAUUUCACCGCUACACCAGGAAUUCCGCUUUCCUCUCCCACACUCCAGCCCUCCAGUCUUCGGCGCACCCUCCCGGUUAAGCCGGGAGAUUUCACACCAAACUUAGAGAACCGCCUACACACUCUUUACGCCCAGUAACUCCGAACAACGCUUGCUGCCUACGUAUUACCGCGGCUGCUGGCAC
RNAcentral lists this ribosomal RNA (292 nucleotides) under uncultured Acidobacteriota bacterium. RNAcentral's name for it is "uncultured Acidobacteria bacterium partial 16S ribosomal RNA". Lineage: Bacteria; Pseudomonadati; Acidobacteriota. The record is from RNAcentral.